GAUCUCAAAUCAGGUAGGACUACCCGCUGAACUUAAGCAUAUCAAUAAGCGGAGGAAAAGAAACUAACAAGGAUUCUCCUAGUAACUGCGAGUGAAGCGGGAAAAGCUCAAAUUUAAAAUCUGGCGUGCCUCUGGUCGUCCGAGUUGUAGUUUAGAGAAGCGUUUUCUGUGUUGGACCGUGUAUAAGUCUCUUGGAACAGGGCGUCAUAGAGGGUGAGAAUCCCGUCUUUGACACGGACUACCAAUGCUUUGUGAUACGCUCUCAAAGAGUCGAGUUGUUUGGGAAUGCAGCUCAAAAUGGGUGGUAAAUUCCAUCUAAAGCUAAAUAUAGGCGAGAGACCGAUAGCGAACAAGUACCGUGAGGGAAAGAUGAAAAGCACUUUGGAAAGAGAGUUAAACAGUACGUGAAAUUGCUGAAAGGGAAACGC
RNAcentral lists this ribosomal RNA (428 nucleotides) under uncultured fungus. RNAcentral describes it as "eukaryotic LSU rRNA". It matches the Rfam family "Eukaryotic large subunit ribosomal RNA", at positions 1 to 422 of the family's 3401-position model. The record is from RNAcentral. Lineage: Eukaryota; Fungi.